AUGACUACACCAACCACUUUGGCAUCUUCGCCAAGUGCUAUCGAGGCAUCUUCGCCUUUGGAUGUACGGCAUCUUCGCCUACUUCCCACGAGUACGCCUACAACGACUUCAUCAAGUCCAAGGCGACCACCUACGAGCGAGGGCGACACUUCCAUCUUCAGAAGCCCCUCAAGGACGAUGGCUGAGCAUGGGAAACUCCCUUCGGUCAUGGAGACGAGCUACGAGGUGCCACAUCAUAUGGACCUCCAACACCAAGACGGCGACAAGAUGGUCGAGCAAGGGCCAUCCCCUUCGACUACGGCGACAGGCGCGAAUCUCUUCAACAACAUGAAGAUGGUGCCCAUAGUGGACUCAUCCUCCGAGUCAAGCUACGAGACUGCGCAUGAAGACUUUUGCCACCAUAUUGAGAGUGAGAGUGACUUCACCACUAGCCCCAUAUAUGAUGAGCCGCACCAAUUCCCAUGUGAGGAGAGCCACCACCACCACCACUUGAGUGAUUUGAGUGCCUCCACCAUAUGCGAUAUUGAGUGCACCUACCUUGAGGGAGGGAGUGAGCCACCGCCACAUAGAGAGAGUGAGAUAAUUGAUGAGGCAUAUGAGGCCAUUUCGCUUUCUAACAACUUAACCUCUACCUCUCUUGUGUCUUCUCCUUUGGUGCUAGGUCCCAUAUAUGAUGACGCAUCGAUUCGCGAUGACUACGUCCCCCCUUUGGACACGACGAUGGCCAUGGUGGAACAUGAUGAACCCCCCACAUGGUUCCAUCAAGAUGAAGAUGACAACGAGACGAUCUUCAACACCUCACCUACAACACACAAGCGAUGCUCCAAAGGUAACAUAGGUGAUGGUGCUUCUCUUGUCCCACUAGUGGACCCUCUUGAUAAUGAUUGCUCCCAUGAUGUUGAUACACCUAUUGCCAUGCUUCAUGCUAGUGAAACUUCUUCAUGUCAUGACUUACCUAUUUAUGAUGAAUACGAUGAUGACCAUGUUGAGUUACCUAGUUGUGAUGCUAUGCUUCAUAGGAUAUCAUGUUAA
This 1032-nucleotide ribosomal RNA is filed under the name Triticum aestivum (bread wheat). RNAcentral's name for it is "partial small subunit ribosomal RNA". Lineage: Eukaryota; Viridiplantae; Streptophyta; Magnoliopsida; Poales; Poaceae. The record is from RNAcentral.